AGACGUCUACAUUAGAUACCCCUGUAGUCCCAGCCGUAAACUAUGCGCGUUAGGUGUAUCGGUGACCACGAGUCACCGAGGUGCCGAAGGGAAACCGUGAAACGUGCCGCCUGGGAAGUACGGCCGCAAGGCUGAAACUUAAAGGAAUUGGCGGGAGCACCACAACGGGUGGAGCCUGCGGUUUAAUUGGACUCAACGCCGGGAAGCUCACCGGAUAAGACAGCGGAAUGAUUGCCGGGCUGAAGACUCUGCAUGACUAGCUG
RNAcentral lists this ribosomal RNA (263 nucleotides) under uncultured archaeon. RNAcentral's name for it is "partial 16S ribosomal RNA". It matches the Rfam family "Archaeal small subunit ribosomal RNA", at positions 714 to 982 of the family's 1478-position model. The record is from RNAcentral.